This 1052-nucleotide ribosomal RNA is filed under the name groundwater metagenome. RNAcentral describes it as "bacterial SSU rRNA". It matches the Rfam family "Bacterial small subunit ribosomal RNA", at positions 8 to 1050 of the family's 1533-position model. The record is from RNAcentral.
AGAGUUUGAUCCUGGCUCAGAGUGAACGCUGGCGGCGUGGAUUAGGCAUGCAAGUCGAGCGAUCCCGCAAGGGAAAGCGGCAAACGGGUGAGUAACACGUGAGUAAUCUACCUUAAGGUCUAGGAUACCCUCGCGAAAGCGAGGUUAAUACCAGAUUACAUUUUGAUAUCGCAUGAUAUUAAAAUUAAAGUUUUUGAGCAAUCAAGAAUGCCUUAAGAUGAGCUCGCGGCCUAUCAGCUAGUUGUUAGGGUAAUGGCCUACCAAGGCUUUUGACGGGUAGCUAGUCUAAGAGGAUGUUUAGCCACAUUGGGACUGAGACACUGCCCAGACUCCUACGGGAGGCUGCAGUCGAGAAUCUUUAGCAAUGGACGAAAGUCUGACUAUGCGACGCCGCGUGAGGGAUGAAGGUCUUCGGAUUGUAAACCUCUUUCAGCUGGGAAGAAAAAAUGUGGUCAAUAGCCACAGAAUUGACGGUACCAGUAGAAGAAGCCACGGCCAACUCCGUGCCAGCAGCCGCGGUAAUACGGAGGUGGCAAGCGUUACUCGGAUUCACUGGGUGUAAAGGGCAGGUAGGCUACUUGAUAAGUUGGAUGUGAAAUCUCUCGGCUUAACCGGGAAACUGCAUUCAAAACUAUCAGGAUUGAGGUCGAAGGAAGAGAAUAGAAUUAUCGGUGUAAGGGUGAAAUCUGUAGAUAUCGAUAGGAAUACCAAUAGCGAAAGCAUUUCUCUAUUUCGAUUCUGACGCUGAACUGCGAAAGCUAGGGGAGCAAACAGGAUUAGAUACCCUGGUAGUCCUAGCCGUAAACGAUGGGCACUAGGUGCCGGCUCGCAAGGGUCGGUGUCGUAAGAUAACUCGUUAAGUGCCCCACCUGGGGACUACGGCCGCAAGGUUAAAACUCAAAGGAAUUGACGGGGGCCCGCACAAGCGGUGGAACAUGUGGUUUAAUUCGAUGCUACGCGAAGAACCUCACCAGGGUUUGACAUGUAGGAAGUAAGAACCUGAAAGGGAGAUGACUCGUUAAAUCGAGAACUUACACAGGUGUUGCAUGGCU